Molecule: long non-coding RNA, 430 nt
Filed under: Sinocyclocheilus grahami
Lineage: Eukaryota; Metazoa; Chordata; Actinopteri; Cypriniformes; Cyprinidae
Description: lncRNA (ENSSGRG00000038352.1)
Source: RNAcentral
GUUUCUUUUUCGUAAAAAAUAUUUUUGUAGUCCAGGAGCUGUAAAUGUUUAGCUUAUUAUCUGAUAUAUGCAUGCAUGAAGAGAUGCCAUAAAGAUAAAUGUUUGAUUCUUAAAAAUAAAACAAGAUCAAUAAAACCUGAUGUGACCAGUCAAGGAAUUGGUAUGAGUUGUUCUGGACCUGCAGAGACAUACUGUCUGAUCACGUCUGUACCAGCCACAUCUCAGCCCAUAUCUGUAGGUGUUUUGGUUAAUAAACAACAGAAACAGGGAAAUCCGGAGGAAAAUGAGAAUGUUUAUCACCUGUACUCCACAAUCCCUGACAAACCAGUUCACUACAAAACAGAAGAUCACAUGUACAGUUUGGUGAACAUGCACUGAUGAAUCUCUGGUUUCAUCAUGUACAGCCAUUAAAGUAUCUUUACUUGCAGAC